Molecule: non-coding RNA, 45 nt
Filed under: Trichobilharzia regenti
Lineage: Eukaryota; Metazoa; Platyhelminthes; Trematoda; Strigeidida; Schistosomatidae
Source: RNAcentral
ACCCAGAUAAAGAGUCCCAAAUAGGACGAAAUGCGCAUCCUGGAU